GACGAACGCUGGCGGCGUGCCUAAUACAUGCAAGUAGAACGAGUUGCGAACGGGUGAGUAACGCGUGGUAACCUGCCUCAUAGCAGGGGAUAACUACUGGAAACGGUAGCUAAUACCGCAUACCAUCAGAUGUGCCCAGAUGGGAUUAGCUGGUGGGUGGGGUAACGGCUCACCAAGGCGACGAUCCCUAGCUGGUCUGAGAGGAUGACCAGCCACACUGGAACUGAGACACGGUCCAGACUCCUACGGGAGGCAGCAGUGGGGAAUAUUGCACAAUGGGCGAAAGCCUGAUCCAGCCAUGCCGCGUGUAUGAAGAAGGCUUUCGGGUUGUAAAGUACUUUCAGCGGGGAGGCGUUACCCGCAGAGGAAGCACCGGCUAACUCCGUGCCAGCAGCCGCGGUAAUUC
RNAcentral lists this ribosomal RNA (406 nucleotides) under uncultured bacterium. Its description in RNAcentral is "partial 16S ribosomal RNA". It matches the Rfam family "Bacterial small subunit ribosomal RNA", at positions 28 to 526 of the family's 1533-position model. The record is from RNAcentral.